This 892-nucleotide long non-coding RNA is filed under the name Mytilus galloprovincialis (Mediterranean mussel). The record is from RNAcentral. Lineage: Eukaryota; Metazoa; Mollusca; Bivalvia; Mytilida; Mytilidae.
UUUGAUUGUUCUAAAGCAAUCUUUACCCUUCAGUGCUCACAUGCAUUUUUAGUAGGAAGUCAUGAUAUUUUAUUACAGAAAAUGUUAGUUAAAUGGGGAGCGUUAUUGUUUGUGAGAUAUUAUUUUUUUUGGACUUCAUGGGAAGGGAAAAACCAUGAAUUCAAAUGUUCAGCCAAGAACAUAUUUCCUAUAAACUGGCAUGCAUAAUUGUGAAACCACAAAAUUAAACCUUAUUCCAUUAAACUUGGUAGUUGGUACAUGUACUCAAUCUUUCUCCCAGGUAUCAUCUGUGUAAAAGUUAAAAGUUGUAAUGUAAUUGCCGAUAAAGCAACCAUCUUCAAGAGAACAAAGGAUGUGUAUGUAAACAACAAUAGGUCACCUUAUGGUCUUUGACAAUGAGUAUAAUCCAUACCAUCUAGCUAGCUUUUAAGGUAACCGUAUCAAGAAAUGUGAAACAAUUCAAAUGAGAAAACCAGCAGCAUGAUGUAUGUACAAAAUAAUUUAAAAAAACAGACCGCAACCAACAACAGACAUUGAAUUCAGUGCACACAACAGUUUAUUUGGAUGAGUUAGAUGCUUGUGGUCAGUUUUAUCUGUUAUACUGUCAAAUAUUUUGAAAUUCUGUUUUCUUUUUUAUGUAAUAUUCAUUUGCCUUAGUCUUUGUGCUUCCAAUAUAUUUCAAAUUUUUUCACCAACAAAAUGGCUUUUUUAAUUGCAGCUGCUUUUUAAAUUAUUCAAUUAAUUUAAUAUCUUUUAGUGUAUGUUCAAUUUCAGUAUCAUUAGCAAUGUUGCAAAAAUGAUGUAUCAAAUUUGGAUUUAUGAACAGUUUUAUCUGCUCCUAAUCAUUCUUAUACUGAAGCAUUAUGAUUUAAUUUCUCAAAAGGAACAUUUU